AUCGCUUCUCGGCCUUUUGGCUAAGCUCAAGUGUAGUAUCUGUUCUUAUCAGUUUAAUAUCUGAUAUGUUCUCCAACGUGAGGACUAUAUAUUAAGCGGAUUUUUACUUUUGGGGAGCUGAAAGGGGCUUGCUCUAACUCCUCCACGCGCUCGACCUGGCACUGCGGUGUGCGCCCGCGAGCAGUGCACCUUCU
RNAcentral lists this small nuclear RNA (194 nucleotides) under Amphiprion ocellaris (clown anemonefish). Its description in RNAcentral is "U2 spliceosomal RNA". It matches the Rfam family "U2 spliceosomal RNA". From Rfam's summary of the family: U2 is a small nuclear RNA (snRNA) component of the spliceosome (involved in pre-mRNA splicing). Complementary binding between U2 snRNA (in an area lying towards the 5' end but 3' to hairpin I) and the branchpoint sequence (BPS) of the intron results the bulging out of an unpaired adenosine, on the BPS, which initiates a nucleophilic attack at the intronic 5' splice site, thus starting the first of two transesterification reactions that mediate splicing. Lineage: Eukaryota; Metazoa; Chordata; Actinopteri; Pomacentridae. The record is from Rfam by way of RNAcentral.